Long non-coding RNA from Meleagris gallopavo (turkey), 2353 nucleotides. The record is from Ensembl. NCBI's taxonomy places the organism in Eukaryota, Metazoa, Chordata, Aves, Galliformes, Phasianidae.
GCGGUGGGCUGAAGGGCGAUUCGCCAGGCCCAGCAGGGUGAGGAGACAGACGGAUGAGGGAGAUGUCGGAGAUGACGGGGCUGCCGCUCAGGGGAGGAGGCCUGGAGAGGAAACAAAGAAAUACAAUCACCUGUGGCUGUCUGUCCUUCCUCCAACCCUACUGGUCUGUUACAGCAGGAAGGGCGAAAGGUCGCGACUUGAGCGGUACCCUCAGGAUGAAACCCUCAAAACAAGAAAGCAAAGGAUGCGCAGAUCGUGGUGUGCCAGGAGGAAGUUGUCCUGACCUUAUAUGCCUGCCUGAGAGCCUGACAAUGAUGUGAAAGAGCUCUCCCAGCACCACAGCAAAGUUCUAACAGUCCAAAAAAGCAACCCAAUGCUGCAUGAUGGAGUUGGAAGUCUGAAGAUGGCAGCUUCAUGGCCCACUGGGAAGAAGGAGACCCGAGACAAAUCACCGCUAACUCCCAGCCCUCCCCUGCUGGGAUGUUUCUUUGUUUUUCCUGUAUUUUCUCAGCUUUAAAAUGAGAUCAAUACAUUAUUUCUUUAUACUCACAAAAAUGGAUAUUACAGAAAAUUGAAGUUACCUUUACCAAUUCAGCAACUAAUGCUCUCGCUGUGAAGCUGGAUAAAAAUUUCUACAGCUUCUCUGCAGAAAUGUAAGGGGCAUGCUUUGAGCAGUUCCCAUUUUCUUCUUUCCCCUCAAAUAUGGCCUUGAGGCAUUGAAAACUAGAAAAAUAAUUAAUAUAUAUACAUAUAUAUAUAUUUAAACAGUGAGGGCAAAUUCUCAUUAGAACAGUUUAUGAAGGAAAGUGGUAAAUACAGCGCUGCUGCAAUACUUUAUGGCAAAACUAGAUGUUUUUCUAAAAGAUGUGUUUUAAGUGUUUGGAGGUUUGGAGUUUAAUAGUCGGAAAGAGUAAUUUAUCCCAGUGUAGAAAUGAAAGGGGAAGGAGUUCUAUGGUUGGUGUCACAGAUGUUAGAUCAGAUAACUGUGGUAGCUGCUGUGGGUCUUCACACACAAAAAUCUCUGAAUAUAAAAACCCUUAUUUGUGGAUUUGUGGUUAGGGCCCUGCUUUUAGAAGGAUUUAUUUAGGCGUUAUGAAAAAUCCCAUUGCACACCCAUUGGCAAUGGUAGUUGUCUAAAUGCCUUUAAAGAUUAUGCCUUGAAGUCUAAUCUUGUACCACUGAAGUCAAAGGAAACUCUGCCACUGACUCUGGCUUGGGGAACAAGAAUGGGCCUCCAACUGUUUGAUUACUCUGUUUUCCAGCCACACCAUGGAAACAGCAUAGUAAACUAUGGUGGGUACAGUUCCUUAGUAAAUUUUUUUCCAUUUCUUAGAAAAACGUAUUCAGGACUUUAUGCAACUUCUAUACCAUGAGGUCAAUUUUAUAUAUUUGUUCCAAGUAAGAAAGAUGUUUGUGUUUUUUUUAGCUCUAAAGCUAAAGAUAAAGCCAAACAUCCUUUAUUUUGCCUUAUGAAAGACCAUUCUGUUUUCAGACACUCCUGACUAGGUUAAAAUACCUAGAACCAAGAACAAAUGUAACAAAGGUUUUAAAUCCACUCAAUGUGGCUGUGUUAAUAUUUUUAAUCAAUGAAAUAAAAAGUGUUUUCAUUUAGAACUUCAACAUUUUUUUUAACCUAAGGUCCACCAGAAGUUAGCAAUGUUCUUGAGCUCACGGGUUGCUCACAGCAUCUGGGGACCACAGCAUUGCUUGGAAGGAGCAAAGCUGGCAGCAGAAGUAACCCUGCAUAGGAAGUGGUCCUCAGAAUAGAAACUGUCCUAUCUACAUACAGAUUUUUAUUCUAUUUACACAACAUUUAGCACAACGAGGGUCUAGCCUUGGCUGACAUUAAAGGCACAACCGCAAUACAAUACAACAAUAAUAAUAUUUGCUAUUAAAAUGGAAGAAAAACAUGUAUUUUAAAUAACUAAGAUUGCCCUCCAUUAUGCAACAGACAAAGAAGUCAGACAUCAAAGGUAGAAAUCAGAGUUGAUAUGGGACCUUCAAACCCAAAUCAAAUUAGUGUCUUGAGGAGAGAUCUUUGAUUUAAGCUUAACAGUGGUGAUUUUUUCCUGGGUUGUUUUAUACUUAAUCAGCCUCACAGCCCACUUUGCAGACAUAUGUUCCCAAAACACAUCAAAGAGAGUAAACAUUCUGUUUCAGAUCUUAAUAUACUUUUUUAUCCAAUUACCUUACUUACACGAUCUUUUAAUUUACGUUCUGAAAGCCCACCUUUUCACACAAGCUUUCCUUUAGCAGUGGAGGUAGAAGGAUGACCACCUCAGUUCUUGUGAGAUAUCCGCCAAAAAAAACACAACACAAUGAAUAAAUCAAAGCACGGUAGAUGAGUCUCAAA